UUCCGUAGGUGAACCUGCGGAGGGAUCAUUACCGAGUUUACAACUCCCAAACCCCUGUGAACAUACCACUUGUUGCCUCGGCGGAUCAGCCCGCUCCCGGUAAAACGGGACGGCCCGCCAGAGGACCCCUAAACUCUGUUUCUAUAUGUAACUUCUGAGUAAAACCAUAAAUAAAUCAAAACUUUCAACAACGGAUCUCUUGGUUCUGGCAUCGAUGAAGAACGCAGCAAAAUGCGAUAAGUAAUGUGAAUUGCAGAAUUCAGUGAAUCAUCGAAUCUUUGAACGCACAUUGCGCCCGCCAGUAUUCUGGCGGGCAUGCCUGUUCGAGCGUCAUUUCAACCCUCAAGCACAGCUUGGUGUUGGGACUCGCGUUAAUUCGCGUUCCUCAAAUUGAUUGGCGGUCACGUCGAGCUUCCAUAGCGUAGUAGUAAAACCCUCGUUACUGGUAAUCGUCGCGGCCACGCCGUUAAACCCCAAGUUGAGAAUAUUACAUCCGGAGGUGUCCGGUUCGGCUCUC
RNAcentral lists this ribosomal RNA (517 nucleotides) under Fusarium oxysporum. RNAcentral describes it as "eukaryotic LSU rRNA". The stretch from base 180 to 333 matches the Rfam family "5.8S ribosomal RNA". The record is from RNAcentral. Lineage: Eukaryota; Fungi; Ascomycota; Sordariomycetes; Hypocreales; Nectriaceae.